This 460-nucleotide ribosomal RNA is filed under the name uncultured bacterium. RNAcentral's name for it is "partial 16S ribosomal RNA". It matches the Rfam family "Bacterial small subunit ribosomal RNA", at positions 338 to 795 of the family's 1533-position model. The record is from RNAcentral.
CCUACGGGGGGCAGCAGUGAGGAAUAUUGGUCAAUGGACGAGAGUCUGAACCAGCCAAGUAGCGUGAAGGAUGACUGCCCUAUGGGUUGUAAACUUCUUUUAUAUGGGAAUAAAAUGUUCCACGUGUGGGAUUUUGUAUGUAUCAUAUGAAUAAGGAUCGGCUAACUCCGUGCCAGCAGCCGCGGUAAUACGGAGGAUCCGAGCGUUAUCCGGAUUUAUUGGGUUUAAAGGGAGCGUAGGUGGAUUGUUAAGUCAGUUGUGAAAGUUUGCGGCUCAACCGUAAAAUUGCAGUUGAAACUGGCAGUCUUGAGUACAGUAGAGGUGGGCGGAAUUCGUGGUGUAGCGGUGAAAUGCUUAGAUAUCACGAAGAACUCCGAUUGCGAAGGCAGCUCACUGGACUGAAACUGACACUGAGGCUCGAAAGUGUGGGUAUCGAACAGGAUUAGAUACCCGAGUAGUC